This 253-nucleotide ribosomal RNA is filed under the name uncultured bacterium. Its description in RNAcentral is "partial 16S ribosomal RNA". It matches the Rfam family "Bacterial small subunit ribosomal RNA", at positions 524 to 776 of the family's 1533-position model. The record is from RNAcentral.
GACGAACCGUGCGAACGUUGUUCGGAAUCACUGGGCUUAAAGGGCGCGUAGGCGGGUCACCAAGUCCGGGGUGAAAUCUUUCGGCUCAACCGGAAAAUAGCCUUGGAUACUGGUGGUCUGGAGGGUGGUAGGGGCAUGUGGAACUUCCGGUGGAGCGGUGAAAUGCGUUGAUAUCGGAAGGAACGCCGGUGGCGAAAGCGACGUGCUGGACCACUACUGACGCUGAGGCGCGAAAGCCAGGGGAGCAAACGGG